GACGAACGCUGGCGGCAGGCUUAACACAUGCAAGUCGAACGAACUCUUCGGAGUGAGUGGCAGACGGGUGCGUAACACGUGGGAACCUACCCUAAGGUACGGAAUAACGCCGAGAAAUUGGUGCUAAUACCGUAUAUGUCUUCGGAUGAAAGAUUUAUCGCCUUAGGAUGGGCCCGCGGCUGAUUAGUUUGUUGGUGGGGUAAUGGCCUACCAAGACUACGAUCAGUAGCUGGUCUGAGAGGAUGAUCAGCCACACUGGAACUGAGACACGGUCCAGACUCCUACGGGAGGCAGCAGUGAGGAAUAUUGGACAAUGGGGGAAACCCUGAUCCAGCCAUGCCGCGUGAGUGAUGAAGGCCUUAGGGUUGUAAAACUCUUUCGCUAGGGAAGAUAAUGACGGUACCUAGUAAAGAAGCCCCGGCUAAUUUCG
Molecule: ribosomal RNA, 430 nt
Filed under: uncultured Alphaproteobacteria bacterium
Lineage: Bacteria; Pseudomonadati; Pseudomonadota; Alphaproteobacteria
Description: bacterial SSU rRNA
Rfam family: Bacterial small subunit ribosomal RNA
Source: RNAcentral